Molecule: ribosomal RNA, 318 nt
Filed under: Clostridioides difficile
Lineage: Bacteria; Bacillati; Bacillota; Clostridia; Peptostreptococcales; Peptostreptococcaceae
Description: bacterial SSU rRNA
Rfam family: Bacterial small subunit ribosomal RNA
Source: RNAcentral
UUUAAUUCGAAGCAACGCGAAGAACCUUACCUAAGCUUGACUUCCCAAUGACAUCUCCUAAAGCGGAGAGUUCCCUGCGGUGACAUUUGUGCUAGGUGGUGCAUGGUUGUCGGCAGCUCUGGGCGUGAGAUGUUGGGUUGAGUCCCGCAACGAGCGCAACCCGUGUCUUUAGUUGCCAGCAUUAAGUUGGGGACUCUAGGGAGACUGCCAGGGAUAACCUGGAGGAAGGUGGGGAUGACGUCAAAUCAUCAUGCCCCGUAUGCUUAGGGCUACACACGUGCUACAAUGGGUAGUACAGAGGGUUGCCAAGCCGUAAGG